GACGAACGCUGGCGGCGUGCUUAACACAUGCAAGUCGAGCGGCAAGGCCCUUUCGGGGGUACACGAGCGGCGAACGGGUGAGUAACACGUGGGUGACCUGCCCUCAGCUCUGGGAUAAGCCUGGGAAACCGGGUCUAAUACUGGAUAUGACUCCAUGACGCAUGUUGUGGGGUGAAAGCCUUGUGCGGCUGAGGAUGGGCCCGCGGCCUAUCAGCUUGUCGGUGGGGUGAUGGCCUACCAAGGCGACGACGGGUAGCCGGCCUGAGAGGGCGACCGGCCACACUGGGACUGAGACACGGCCCAGACUCCUACGGGAGGCAGCAGUGGGGAAUCUUGCGCAAUGGGCGAAAGCCUGACGCAGCGACGCCGCGUGAGAGAUGACGGCC
Molecule: ribosomal RNA, 386 nt
Filed under: uncultured bacterium
Lineage: Bacteria
Description: bacterial SSU rRNA
Rfam family: Bacterial small subunit ribosomal RNA
Source: RNAcentral